UUUAAAAGAGAGCGCGCGGCUACACACUUACUCAGCUGACUUGUCAAAACAAACGACUCCUGUAGGUGGUUAUCGGAUAAGAGAAGUAGUUGAAAAGCGCAGUUAUGAAUCAAGACAGAGGUUUGAAAAAUGCGCCACAUCCCAAUCUCCAACCGCCAACGCCCAACGUAGUGAUGCAGAAGAACUUGCGGGACAAUAAUAUCUUCAGAAGUCCAACGGACAAUAUGCUGUCCCCAUGCACGCGCAGGCUCAUGAAGAAAUCUGACAAAAGCUUGUACUGGGGAAAGAAAUCACAGGACGUUGAUGGUAAAGAGAACUGAUCCUUGUCAAGUCUGUAGAAAUCUGUUUUUUAGAUUUAAGUCCAAGUCUGUUUGCUGAUUCUUAUUUUUGUGACACUGCUUUGGAAUAAGUUAUGGAAAUGAGAGCAACAUGGAUAUUUGUAUGUAAAUGUUUGUUCAGCAUCUAAGUCUAAAUUAUUUUUCUGUGGGUGAUUUAAACUGUCAGUUAUUUAAAAUG
Molecule: long non-coding RNA, 516 nt
Organism: Erpetoichthys calabaricus (reedfish)
Lineage: Eukaryota; Metazoa; Chordata; Cladistia; Polypteriformes; Polypteridae
Exons: 4
Source: RefSeq, a predicted model, not a curated record